This 375-nucleotide ribosomal RNA is filed under the name uncultured organism. RNAcentral describes it as "bacterial SSU rRNA". It matches the Rfam family "Bacterial small subunit ribosomal RNA", at positions 526 to 896 of the family's 1533-position model. The record is from RNAcentral.
CGGGGGGAGCAAGCGUUGUUCGGAUUUACUGGGCGUAAAGGGCGCGUAGGCGGCCACCGCAAGUCAGUUGUGAAAUCUCUGGGCUUAACCCAGAAAGGUCAACUGAUACUGCGGGGCUAGAGUGCAGAAGGGGCAACUGGAAUUCUCGGUGUAGCGGUGAAAUGCGUAGAUAUCGAGAGGAACACCUGCGGCGAAGGCGGGUUGCUGGGCUGACACUGACGCUGAGGCGCGAAAGCUAGGGGAGCGAACGGGAUUAGACUACCCCGGUAGUCCUAGCCUUAAACGAUGAAUGCUUGGUGUCUGGGGUUUUAUAGUCCCCGGGUGCCGUCGCUAACGCUUUAAGCAUUCCGCCUGGGGAGUACGGUCGCAAGACUG